GGUUGUGGAUUUGCAUUGGGUUGAGGGUUUUCUUUGGGUUGUAGUUUGGCUUUGGGUUUUGGAAGUGGACGCUUAGAAGCAAUUUCUGGAAGUGUGUCAAGUUUGUUCCUAAGAUGGUUUGGCUUUUCUACCCAAACAACUUUCUUGGGUGCUUUGGGUGGUAUCUUGAUGAAAACUCCAUCUCUAACAUACUCAGACAGGUUUUGCUCACAAUCUGGAUUGGGUUGCUCUUUGUUUUGUAUGGGUGACUCUUGAGGGGUGUAGUCAGCUGGUGGCUCACACUGGUUGUAGCUUGGUUUAUUUCUCUCACCACUAGUUUGACUCACCUUCUCAC
This 334-nucleotide long non-coding RNA is filed under the name Setaria viridis. RNAcentral describes it as "long non-coding RNA (SVIR_LNC006838)". Lineage: Eukaryota; Viridiplantae; Streptophyta; Magnoliopsida; Poales; Poaceae. The record is from RNAcentral.